Molecule: long non-coding RNA, 2441 nt
Organism: Tympanuchus pallidicinctus (lesser prairie-chicken)
Lineage: Eukaryota; Metazoa; Chordata; Aves; Galliformes; Phasianidae
Exons: 2
Source: RefSeq, a predicted model, not a curated record
CCUGAAUGACUCUUUCUGCAUCCACCAAGUUAACCUCCUGGUCGUUGGUAUUUGGACAGGGUGGGGUGAUGCCUCGUUCCCUGAUACAAGCCGUGCGUUCAGCAGCGCUGAUCUCCCAGGAUUGAAUUCCUUCAAUUACAAGGAGGCCUCCAUCUCCUCCAGAAUGAGCAACAUAAUGAGGGAAGACCCAUCCAUGAAGAUUAAUCAUAUCUUCCCAUGGAAGAUGGAUGUGUUCAGCAUCCCUUGUUGGGCACUGACGUGGCAAGCAAUUCUUUGGUGAUUUUUGUUUACAAAGUAGAUAGAAUAAGAGAUGAAUUAUUAUUUACAGCUAAACAAAGCAAAAUAAAAAUGUUGUAUUUUAUCAAGAAAGAAUGGGAAGAAUGUGAGGGAAAAGAUGGUAAGAACUGCUAGUGAUACGAUUAGGAAGGAGACAUUGACUAGAGAGCUGGAAAUAGAGGAAAAAUUUGGCUAUGUCAGGCUAUAGAUCAAGCCAGCAACUUUAUGAAGGCUUUGCAAGCUCAUCUUUCCCAUCUCACCACAUGAAACCACCGUGCACGACUGCCAUUUGGAAUUGGAUUUGUUUAAGAUCUAUAAUCUAUAAUCUACAGCCCUAAAGCUAACCACUGCUUGAGUUCUAGACAUGGAGGAGAAGUCACCUCUCACUGGGAAUGGGAAAAACAUCAAAGAUAAUCAACAAGGUUUCAUUUGAAUUGGUCCCUUUCCAUUAGGAGAUCAAAAUCUGCAAAGGAGCAACCUACAGAUCAUCCUUUUUCUCCCUGACUUUGUGCUGUUGUAUCUGGACUUGCUGGUGUUGGCAUGCUGAUGUUAGCAGAAGACAUUCACUCCACUCUUCUCCAUGACUACUGCAGGAGUGGUAUGAAUGACAGGAAACAUGGCCAGGAAUGCAAAGCAUCCUUCAUUUUGAAAAAAAAUUUGAAAGCUUUGAAGAGAUUUUGAAAAAGAACAAGAAAGCUAUGAGUUCUUCUUUUUGUAAAGCAAAGAGGAAGCAGGAACAGAAUCAUGGCACUGAACGGCAGUUUUGUUUUCUGGUCUAUUCUGCUCAAUGCUUUAUGCAGGUUUUUCUGCAGACUAAUCCUGUGCACAUCCCCCUGUUUCCACCAAGGGCUUAAUUGCUAUUAGUUACUGAUAGUACAGCCUGGCUUAAAAUAGAAAUAAAUCCCACUGUGUUCAGUGAGGGAAAACUGGAUCUUUGUAGAACAGAGACUCCCAAAAUUGAAGUCUGCUGAUGUUAUUAUGGACAUUGAAGGGAGACAGACAAUAAUAAACUGUCCCAAUUGUGGGAUCCAGAAUGUAAAAAAUAAGUCCCAGGUUCUAAAUGAAAAUUCCUAUGACAGGAAAGAUCUGGAGGCAGGAAGAUAGUUUCGCAGCAAGUUGUGGAGAUGGGAGAGCAAAGAGAAACCAAUGGAGAAAAGGGAUGGUGGUGGAAGAGGGGACAACUCCCAAAGGAAACACGGCCUCAGCGCAUUGCUUGACAAAUGAAGAUUUAUGUCUUCCUUGCCUGUGCUUUCUUCCUUCCCACUGCUGCGACUGUGGAACAUCCUUGAAAGAAGCAAGGAAAUUAUGUUUAGUAACUGGGCUGUCUCUCCUUUGCUGAGAUAUGAGCCCUUACCUGUAGGCUGAGAAAGAGACCAGCAUGAAGGUGGGGAAGAGGGGGGGUAAGAGGGGAAGAGGAUAUCUGAACUAGACAACCUGAGAAGGCAGCUGUGAGAGAAAGAUAACAAGCAGAGACUGGUCUGCUCUCUGUGAGCAUCCUUGCAUAAAGAUACACCAAGAAUCUUAAUUUUCUGCUCUCUGUACUGUUCAUCAGAAGGACUGUGCUCAUGACACUGGAAUGAACUGUUGUACAGUUGGAAAGACAAUCUCUGCUGGAUUACAAAUUCUGGUUAUAUAAGGACUUCUUUAAAGUUUCAGGAAAUAAUAGUCUCAACUGAAAAUGUGAUUUUGUAAUAAACUAGUAAAUUUCUAGCUCUAAUAUGCAUUAAGUAAACCUUCAAAAUUGAAUUCAGCAAUAUAUAUAUACAUAGAUCUCAGAAUAUAGAAAUGAAAUAUAAAAAUAGUAUAAUUUUGAAGUUAAUUGAGAAUUUUUGAAAAGUUCCCCAAAUAUUCUGAAUUCAAGGAUGACAUUUUCACACUAAUUCUUCUUAAUCCACUAGAAAUACUUUUCUCUCUGCUUUUCAAACGUGAAGCUCUUUAAUAACUGGUGUUAAGUGAUUUCUGAAUUAUUUGCUUAACCUAUCAGUUAUCUGGUUUAAUUAAAGCUGGCCAUCAGCACCUGUUUUUUCAUCCUUUAUUAAGUGAUUGAAAUAUCCAAUUAAGGGAUGAGAAGCACCUUGUUUUCAGGUUAACAGAUGUUUUUUCAAAGAAAGCAAGGUGGGGUUUUUUGUUGUUUUAUAGAGAGAAUAAAUGUUUAUUACACAGAG